UCUUCCUCAUCAAUUCACCUUCUUCUACAGAUUCAAUUCACACACCCAACAACAUGGUGCUCACAUCUUCUGCACGCGAUCAAUAUUCAAUUCAUACACACAACAACAUGGUGCUCACAUCGUCUGUGCGCAGGGUGAUGCUCGCGGUGAUUGGUUUCGCUUUCUGAUGACCCUUCACAGUGGUCGGGUUUAUGGAUAUUAUCUGGGCUGCAGAGUAAGGAACUGACAAAACACUUGCAUUUGGUUUGCCCAUUUUGCAACGUCGGAGGAGCGUGAGAAGGCUGCAAAUAUAGUCGGUGUUAGAUCGGUUUGCCGAUUUUGCAGAGGUAACAUAUUGUCAAUGGAUGAAUGAACUCCAACUUCUCUUCAUGAUAGUGUCCUUCUUUUCUAUAACCUUCAAGAAUGGGGGCAUGCUGAUAUUUGGCAUACAGGGCAAUUGACUUCUUGUGAUUAUAUUUAGUUGUUUAUAGUUUGGUCAAAUGCUAUCUGUUACAUGAACCUUUCAACUAUUGAUUCUGAAAUAGUCUCUUGAAUCGGUUGAAAGGAAAAAAUUUAUAUGGAGUUUCAACAUGAGGUUUUUUGUGCAGGUUUAGAAUUGGACACAAAUUGGUUUAUGUGCAGUGAUUCAUGUUUUUCUUUUUGAUUUUUUAUACUAAUUUGGCUCAUAUACUAUUUCUCGAUCGCUGUA
Vicia villosa (hairy vetch) is the source of this 688-nucleotide long non-coding RNA. RefSeq lists it as uncharacterized. The transcript is spliced from 3 exons. NCBI's taxonomy places the organism in Eukaryota, Viridiplantae, Streptophyta, Magnoliopsida, Fabales, Fabaceae. The record is from RefSeq and is a predicted model, not a curated record.